RNAcentral lists this ribosomal RNA (202 nucleotides) under uncultured bacterium. Its description in RNAcentral is "partial 16S ribosomal RNA". It matches the Rfam family "Bacterial small subunit ribosomal RNA", at positions 334 to 528 of the family's 1533-position model. The record is from RNAcentral.
GACUCCUACGGGAGGCAGCAGUGGGGAAUAUUGCACAAUGGGCGCAAGCCUGAUGCAGCCAUGCCGCGUGUAUGAAGAAGGCCUUCGGGUUGUAAAGUACUUUCAGCGGGGAGGAAGGCGAUAAGGUUAAUAACCUUGUCGAUUGACGUUACCCGCAGAAGAAGCACCGGCUAACUCCGUGCCAGCAGCCGCGGUAAUACGU